GGGCUUGUGGGGUAGGGGAUCAUCCUUUUGGCCUUCGGAGCCGAGGACCCGCGUUCGAAUCGCGGCAGGCCCG
This 73-nucleotide transfer RNA is filed under the name Methanomassiliicoccaceae archaeon. RNAcentral describes it as "tRNA-Arg". It matches the Rfam family "tRNA". Rfam says of the family: Transfer RNA (tRNA) molecules are approximately 80 nucleotides in length. Their secondary structure includes four short double-helical elements and three loops (D, anti-codon, and T loops). Further hydrogen bonds mediate the characteristic L-shaped molecular structure. tRNAs have two regions of fundamental functional importance: the anti-codon, which is responsible for specific mRNA codon recognition, and the 3' end, to which the tRNAs corresponding amino acid is attached (by aminoacyl-tRNA synthetases). tRNAs cope with the degeneracy of the genetic code in two manners: having more than one tRNA (with a specific anti-codon) for a particular amino acid; and 'wobble' base-pairing, i.e. permitting non-standard base-pairing at the 3rd anti-codon position. The record is from RNAcentral. Lineage: Archaea; Methanobacteriati; Thermoplasmatota; Thermoplasmata; Methanomassiliicoccales; Methanomassiliicoccaceae.